Molecule: long non-coding RNA, 1323 nt
Organism: Tripterygium wilfordii
Lineage: Eukaryota; Viridiplantae; Streptophyta; Magnoliopsida; Celastrales; Celastraceae
Exons: 2
Source: RefSeq, a predicted model, not a curated record
CAUAGCCGCCCCACAUGGCUUGAACCUCAUGUGGCCCCCACUGGUCAACGAAGUCAAGCUCACCUUUGAUAGACUUUAUCAAUUUUUGAUCAAAUCCUAACAGAGGAGAGUGGUGGAGUAGGAAAAGAGCACCUCUUUGAUAUGGGCAUCUAUGGAUUUGCAGUCAAAGACAUCAUACAGAUCCAAAGCUUUAGAAGCAUAACCCCUUGCUUGGAUUUGCAUCUUCAUUGGCAUGUCUGUGUCCUCUACCAAGGCUUUUCCUUCCAACAUCUUCUGUUCUCUCUCUCUCUCUAGAAGAAAACCCAGUUGGGAUAUGCACAAUCCUGAUAUUCUCUACCAUUCGCCUCACUUGCCUCUUCUUAUCUUCAAAAACCAAGGACAAUAAUCUUUGAAAUCUGACCUCACCGUUUUCCUAGUAUGAUGCAGAAAGUUCAUAAACAUUCCGGAAUCUUACAACUGUAAAGGAGUGACUCAUAAUUAAACACAAAUAUUGAGGUGGCACAUAUUCCAGCUCUCUUUCUGCUCAAAUUUUACUUUAUUCGUAUUCUAUGAAAAAGCAAAUCUCUCUCUCUCGAGUGACGCACGUCAUGGUCAUGAAGAUAAUGUUGAUGAAGAGGAUAGUAAUGGUGAGGCUCCUAAUAAGUCACGGUCUAAUUGGAUUUUACUGAUAAUUUAGGCAUCAAACUUACCUACCAUUGCCAUGUAUAUCUACACUUUUUUGUCGCAUUUUAUUUCCUGGUUUUCAGUUAAACUAACGCGGGAAUAGUCAUACCAUUGACUGUGAUUAAUUCUGUGUAUACUCUGCUUAAAAGAAAAAAAUGAUUUGAUGAAUGCAAGUGUGAUUAUUGUGCAAAUUGUCGCCAACUUGGCUCCUAAUUUGCGAUCGUUUGUAGCAACUGCUUUAACAGAAUAAACUAUACUAGUUAUCAGAAUUCAUUUUGCAUAUCAAGCUCCUUUGGUCAAUUAGUCCGAUGGUUCCUCCUUUCAUUGAAUGCUGCUUGACAAUGUAGUCCUCUUAUGUCUUACAUUGGGAGUAACAGAGAAUACAUGCAAGGUAAUUGCAGACAUUGUGAUUGCAAACUUGAAUGAUGACACUUCCAUGACCAGUCGGUAUUAGCUCCAGUCUGAUUCGAAAUGCCUGCUUGAGUUUUGAAGAGAAAGGAUACCUACUGAUUGGUUUCUUGCAAUCAGGUACAAGGCAUGCAAAGGUGGUAUUACAGUGUAGACCAUGAGAUGUAUACAUACAGUGCAUCCGGCCAUUUUUGAAAAUCUUAAAGAACCCAUGUGGAUGUGUGGCCCUGGUAAUGCUAUCUUAGUAUCUUU